UGGGGAAUAUUGGACAAUGGGGGCAACCCUGAUCCAGCCAUGCCGCGUGUGUGAAGAAGGCCUUCGGGUUGUAAAGCACUUUCAGCAGUGAGGAAAGGUGUGCGGUUAAUACCCGUAUGCUGUGACGUUAACUGCAGAAGAAGCACCGGCUAACUCCGUGCCAGCAGCCGCGGUAAUACGGAGGGUGCAAGCGUUAAUCGGAAUUACUGGGCGUAAAGCGCGCGUAGGUGGUUUGGUCAGUCAGAUGUGAAAGCCCCGGGCUUAACCUGGGAAUUGCACCUGAUACUGCCAGACUAGAGUACGGUAGAGGGCAGUGGAAUUUCCGGUGUAGCGGUGAAAUGCGUAGAGAUCGGAAGGAACACCAGUGGCGAAGGCGACUGCCUGGACCGAUACUGACACUGAGGUGCGAAAGCGUGGGUAGCAAACAGGAUUAGAUACCCCGGGUAGUC
Molecule: ribosomal RNA, 449 nt
Filed under: uncultured bacterium
Lineage: Bacteria
Description: bacterial SSU rRNA
Rfam family: Bacterial small subunit ribosomal RNA
Source: RNAcentral